CAUGCAAGUCGAACGGUAGCACAGAGAGCUUGCUCUCGGGUGACGAGUGGCGGACGGGUGAGUAAUGUCUGGGAAACUGCCUGAUGGAGGGGGAUAACUACUGGAAACGGUAGCUAAUACCGCAUAACGUCGCAAGACCAAAGAGGGGGACCUUCGGGCCUCUUGCCAUCAGAUGUGCCCAGAUGGGAUUAGCUAGUAGGUGGGGUAAUGGCUCACCUAGGCGACGAUCCCUAGCUGGUCUGAGAGGAUGACCAGCCACACUGGAACUGAGACACGGUCCAGACUCCUACGGGAGGCAGCAGUGGGGAAUAUUGCACAAUGGGCGCAAGCCUGAUGCAGCCAUGCCGCGUGUAUGAAGAAGGCCUUCGGGUUGUAAAGUACUUUCAGCGGGGAGGAAGGUGUUGUGGUUAAUAACCACAGCAAUUGACGUUACCCGCAGAAGAAGCACCGGCUAACUCCGUGCCAGCAGCCGCGGUAAUACGGAGGGUGCAAGCGUUAAUCGGAAUUACUGGGCGUAAAGCGCACGCAGGCGGUCUGUCAAGUCGGAUGUGAAAUCCCCGGGCUCAACCUGGGAACUGCAUUCGAAACUGGCAGGCUAGAGUCUUGUAGAGGGGGGUAGAAUUCCAGGUGUAGCGGUGAAAUGCGUAGAGAUCUGGAGGAAUACCGGUGGCGAAGGCGGCCCCCUGGACAAAGACUGACGCUCAGGUGCGAAAGCGUGGGGAGC
RNAcentral lists this ribosomal RNA (724 nucleotides) under uncultured bacterium. Its description in RNAcentral is "bacterial SSU rRNA". It matches the Rfam family "Bacterial small subunit ribosomal RNA", at positions 54 to 769 of the family's 1533-position model. The record is from RNAcentral.